Molecule: transfer RNA, 71 nt
Filed under: Loxodonta africana (African savanna elephant)
Lineage: Eukaryota; Metazoa; Chordata; Mammalia; Proboscidea; Elephantidae
Rfam family: tRNA
About the family: Transfer RNA (tRNA) molecules are approximately 80 nucleotides in length. Their secondary structure includes four short double-helical elements and three loops (D, anti-codon, and T loops).
Source: Rfam by way of RNAcentral
GCAGUGGUGGUUCAGUGGUAGAAUUCUCGCCUUCCAUGCGAAAGACCUGCGUUCGAUACCCAGUCAAUGUA